Sesamum indicum (sesame) is the source of this 461-nucleotide long non-coding RNA. RefSeq lists it as uncharacterized. NCBI's taxonomy places the organism in Eukaryota, Viridiplantae, Streptophyta, Magnoliopsida, Lamiales, Pedaliaceae. The record is from RefSeq and is a predicted model, not a curated record.
GACUCAAACUGCUGCAAAAAGGGUCGACUUUUCUCCCUAUUUAUAGCCACGGUUUCUGUGUGCGAAAUUGAUAAUCUUGCAAGAUUUUUCGCAAUGGCUAAAACCAGUGUGGCAGCACAGCUACUGGCGGCGUUCUUGAUUGCCCUUUUUAUACUUGAUUGUUUCCCUGUUAUUUCAGCCUCUUCCCCUUUAGGUGGCAAAUCCAGGAAACUACGUAGUGAUUAUGGGGAGCGUUUCACAUACUUUAAAGAGCCGUCGUCCGCUGCUGUAAGCCUCAGACGGGCGGCUCCCGCCCCACCUCCGCCACGAUACAGCCAAUCGCCGCCACGGAAGUAAAGCUUUGGUGAUGGAAGAAGCCUUCUUAUACUUAUAAUAAUUGUUGGUGGUUGUAUGCGCAAAAUAUACUGUCGCAAAAAGUACCCAUUCAUUCUAAAUUCUGAUUCUUGCGCGUCUCUAUGUUA